ACCCCGCUCUCCGCCCCCGCCCCCCAAUGUUGUAAUAUUGCAGUUUUGUCGGGCAAUUUUAACAAUUUUAACGACACGCUCGUCGGGCAGAUUCAGCCAAAAAUUUUACAUAAUUUUUUGAAAAGUAAUAGUUGUUGGAAAAAAUUUGAUAAAUUUACACAAAUAUUACUGAAAAAUUGUACAAAUUACGGUACAUUAGUUCGAAAGUCAGUGAAAAAUGGUAUGUCAGAAAAUUCUCCCCAGCCCGCUCGCCAACAAUUUUGGGAAAAUAAAUAUUAAUUAGCGACUGAAAUGACCGUCGGGCACGACUUGGACCACGCCCUUUUGGUAGGGCAAAACAAGCUCCCCACCCCCUCCCAGCCGUAAUAGAGAAUUUGAGCAAGACAACGAAGUUGGACGACGACGACGUGGUUGACAAUUUUUGCCUGUCUUUCACAUUACCUUGCGCAUUCUGAGUUUAGGGUCAGGAGUGGAGACAGAUUAGAGAUUCAUGUCUAGCUGUUUGUGAAUGCUGACCCAAAUACUUACCCUGAUCAGGAUAAAACAGCGAGACAUGAAUCCAUAUUCCGUCUUCGUCUUCUGCCUUUGUUCACAACGAAUAUUUUGGCAAAAUUCGUUGCAUGUGAACU
Molecule: non-coding RNA, 629 nt
Organism: Paramuricea clavata
Lineage: Eukaryota; Metazoa; Cnidaria; Anthozoa; Malacalcyonacea; Plexauridae
Source: the annotation of a GenBank genome assembly